UCUAAAUGGUCUGAGAUAUGAAUGGAGAACUGGCCUUACUCAUGCAUGCCUCCUUUGGCAACCCAGCACCAGACAAAGCAGCUGAGGUUUACAUGGACAAAUGAAAAAAUAAUGAGAAACUAAUGUUGUGAGAGAAAUAGUAAGUUUGAAGACAUUUUGUCUGAUUUCAUACCCUAUUAGAAGAAUAUCUUGAUUUUAAAACUGCUGCUCAUUUUUGUGUUGCUGGCUCAUUAUUCAAGUGGAUAUGUAGUUAGAUCUAAGGCCAUUCUGUUACUGAUGAGCUCUGAAAUGAAGGCUUA
This 299-nucleotide long non-coding RNA is filed under the name Macaca mulatta (Rhesus monkey). RNAcentral's name for it is "lncRNA (ENSMMUG00000064928.1)". The record is from RNAcentral. Lineage: Eukaryota; Metazoa; Chordata; Mammalia; Primates; Cercopithecidae.